Molecule: transfer RNA, 88 nt
Filed under: Desulfobacteraceae bacterium
Lineage: Bacteria; Pseudomonadati; Thermodesulfobacteriota; Desulfobacteria; Desulfobacterales; Desulfobacteraceae
Description: tRNA-Leu
Rfam family: tRNA
About the family: Transfer RNA (tRNA) molecules are approximately 80 nucleotides in length.
Source: RNAcentral
GCCGGAGUGGUGGAACUGGUAGACGCGCUGGACUCAAAAUCCAGUAAGCCCUGCGCUUGUGAGAGUUCGAUUCUCUCCUCCGGCACCA